This 265-nucleotide ribosomal RNA is filed under the name uncultured bacterium. RNAcentral describes it as "partial 16S ribosomal RNA". It matches the Rfam family "Bacterial small subunit ribosomal RNA", at positions 524 to 787 of the family's 1533-position model. The record is from RNAcentral.
GACAGAGGGUGCAAACGUUGCUCGGAAUUACUGGGCGUAAAGCGCGUGUAGGCGGGUUUUCAAGUCAGAUGUGAAAUCCCUGGGCUCAACCCAGGAACUGCAUUUGAAACUGAGAGCCUUGAGUGUCGGAGAGGAAAGCGGAAUUCCUGGUGUAGAGGUGAAAUUCGUAGAUAUCAGGAGGAACACCGGUGGCGAAGGCGGCUUUCUGGACGAUAACUGACGCUGAGACGCGAAAGCGUGGGGAGCAAACAGGAUUAGAACCACC